GCCCUUUUUCAAACUUUUUUGGGCCAGGGACCAGCAAGGCAUGGCUUAUUCCUCUGGGGACCGCUUUGGUAUGCAGAGGUGGAGGCAUACAAAGAUGGGCGGACCGGAAACCCAGUGACAACACUUGGGUCUGUAGCUGCCAUUUUCCGGUGGGAAAGAGAAAUGGCCCUGUAUUUACCAGAAAAGUCCAAUAGGAGUGCAUCCCUCAGGCCAUCCGGUGCAUAGACAUCUUGUGCCAGUGUGAUCCAGUUGUGGAGACAUAUAGCAGAUCGAGCCUGUGGACGGACA
Molecule: long non-coding RNA, 288 nt
Organism: Coregonus clupeaformis (lake whitefish)
Lineage: Eukaryota; Metazoa; Chordata; Actinopteri; Salmoniformes; Salmonidae
Exons: 4
Source: RefSeq, a predicted model, not a curated record